AGUGAACGCUGGCGGUAGGCCUAACACAUGCAAGUCGAACGGCAGCACAGUAAGAGCUUGCUCUUACGGGUGGCGAGUGGCGGACGGGUGAGGAAUACAUCGGAAUCUACUUUUUCGUGGGGGAUAACGUAGGGAAACUUACGCUAAUACCGCAUACGACCUACGGUUGAAAGCAGGGGAUCUUCGGACCUUGCGCGAUUGAAUGAGCCGAUGUAGGCUUAGCUAGUUGGCGGGGUAAAGGCCCACCAAGGCGACGAUCCGUAGCUGGUCUCAGAGGAUGGUCAGCCACACUGGAACUGAGCCACAGUCCACACGCCUACGGUAGGGAGCCGUCCGGAAUAUUGGCCAAUGGGCGGAAGCCUGAUCCAGCCAGGCCGCGUGGGUGCAGAAAACCUUCGGGUUGUAAAGACCUUUUGUUGGGAAAGAACAGCAGCCGGUUAAUACCCCGCUGUACUGACGGUACCCAAAGAAUAAGCACCGGCUAACUUCGUG
RNAcentral lists this ribosomal RNA (492 nucleotides) under uncultured bacterium. RNAcentral's name for it is "partial 16S ribosomal RNA". It matches the Rfam family "Bacterial small subunit ribosomal RNA", at positions 29 to 507 of the family's 1533-position model. The record is from RNAcentral.